AUGCUCUCGCUGUCCGCCCGAUCCAUCCUCUCCGCCUUCCUCCCCAAACCCAAACCCCGCCGCCUCCUCCUCCUCAGACCCCGCCGUUCCUCCGCCUCCGCCUCCGCGCUGACGCCGCCUACCCCGCGUACCACCACCCCCGACCCCCCGGAGGACGCAGACCCCACGCCGCUCUUCCUCCGCCCGCCGACCCACCCCGUCCCGGAGGCCUCACUCGCCGCCUUCCGCCGCCGGGCCGCCGCGCUCGUCCCGCCCUCCGCGCCGCACCUCCACCGCCACCUCCGCUGGCUCCUCGCGGACGCCUCCGCCCCCGCCCCGUCCGGCGCCGACCCGGCGGCGCCCCACCUCCUCCGCGCGCCGCUCGAUGAGCUCGAGGCCCUGUGGCUCCGCCACGUCCGGGACAGGCGCCCGUUCCAGUACGUGGUCGGGAACGAGCACUGGAAGGAUCUGGUGGUCGCGGUCCGGGACGGCGUGCUCAUCCCGCGGCCCGAGACGGAGGCCGUCGUCGACAUGGUCGCGGCGGUCGAGGGGUUCCAGGACGGGUGGUGGGCGGACCUCGGGACCGGGAGCGGCGCCAUUGCCGUGGCCGUGGCCAGGAUGCUGGGGCCCGGGGGGAGGGUGUUCGCCACCGACGUCAGCGAGGUCGCUGUUGAGGUCGCGCGGCUCAACGUCCAGAGGUACGGGGUGCAGGAUAAAGUUGAGAUAAGGCGCGGCUCAUGGUUCGAACCUCUAGAAGAUGUCAAAGGAAAACUGAUGGGUGUCAUUAGUAACCCUCCAUACAUACCAACUGAUGAUCUACCUGGCCUGCAACCUGAAGUUGGUUGGCAUGAACCAAAAUUGGCACUUGAUGGAGGCAAAGAUGGCCUUGAUCAUUUGCUUCAUCUAUGUGAAGGGUUAUCUUCGGCACUGAUGCCUGGAGGUUUCUUUGUUUUUGAGACAAAUGGCAACAAGCAGUCAGAGUUUCUUGUCGACUUCAUUAGUACAAAGUGGAGCUCAUCUUUUUGCGACGUGGAGGCAGUUUUAGACUUUGCAGACAUCAAACGUUUUGUAAGAGGGUACCGCAGAUGA
RNAcentral lists this ribosomal RNA (1068 nucleotides) under Triticum aestivum (bread wheat). Its description in RNAcentral is "partial small subunit ribosomal RNA". The record is from RNAcentral. Lineage: Eukaryota; Viridiplantae; Streptophyta; Magnoliopsida; Poales; Poaceae.